RNAcentral lists this ribosomal RNA (497 nucleotides) under uncultured bacterium. RNAcentral describes it as "partial 16S ribosomal RNA". It matches the Rfam family "Bacterial small subunit ribosomal RNA", at positions 28 to 507 of the family's 1533-position model. The record is from RNAcentral.
GAUGAGCGCUGGCGGCGUGCCUAAUACAUGCAAGUCGAGCGAACGGACGAGAAGCUUGCUUCUCUGAUGUUAGCGGCGGACGGGUGAGUAACACGUGGAUAACCUACCUAUAAGACUGGGAUAACUUCGGGAAACCGGAGCUAAUACCGGAUAAUAUUUUGAACCGCAUGGUUCAAAAGUGAAAGACGUUCUUGCUGUCACUUAUAGAUGGAUCCGCGCUGCAUUAGCUAGUUGGUAAGGUAACGGCUUACCAAGGCAACGAUGCAUAGCCGACCUGAGAGGGUGAUCGGCCACACUGGAACUGAGACACGGUCCAGACUCCUACGGGAGGCAGCAGUAGGGAAUCUUCCGCAAUGGGCGAAAGCCUGACGGAGCAACGCCGCGUGAGUGAUGAAGGUCUUCGGAUCGUAAAACUCUGUUAUUAGGGAAGAACAUAUGUGUAAGUAACUGUGCACAUCUUGACGGUACCUAAUCAGAAAGCCACGGCUAACUACGUG